CCCCACACAAGAGAUCGACGGCCUUAAAGUUACACUGGAAUAAACAGAGGAUGGACCAUUACGUUGUUUUUAGGAAAACUAAGAGAGUGACACUCCGGGACGAAGACAUGACUGCAGAAAAACUGGGUCGCAUCUUUCAGGUAUCCGCGCAUACUCUGUACAUCACGGAUGAUUCAAA
Long non-coding RNA from Oreochromis niloticus (Nile tilapia), 178 nucleotides. RefSeq lists it as uncharacterized. NCBI's taxonomy places the organism in Eukaryota, Metazoa, Chordata, Actinopteri, Cichliformes, Cichlidae. The transcript has 2 exons. The record is from RefSeq and is a predicted model, not a curated record.